This is a long non-coding RNA of Athalia rosae (coleseed sawfly), 15633 nucleotides long. RefSeq lists it as uncharacterized. Lineage: Eukaryota; Metazoa; Arthropoda; Insecta; Hymenoptera; Athaliidae. The transcript has 5 exons. The record is from RefSeq and is a predicted model, not a curated record.
CUAAUUUUUCGCUUUCUGCAGCAGAAAUACUGAGAUAUCUCGAUAGGAAAAAUUCCUAGAUCGACGCAAAACCAAAACUCUUAACAUGCGUUCGAAAUAUAAUGAUGUGAACUUGAAAAAAAAUGACGGGUCUAAAAGUUAAACGACGAAUGAAAUGUAAUGCGAUGCGUGCAACGCUAUAGUAUUCAUAAAUGCCAUGCAUCCAAGCAGCGAUUUAUUAAUUAAUAAUCUCAUGACUUCGAAUCGUUGAGGUACUUCCAGCGAGUAACGUACCUGAAAUCGAACCACACCAUCCGGAGACGGUUGAUAAUUUUGCACGCGUCACGUAAUUUGGUCGAAAUAAAAUACUCCAUUGAAUUAUGGUCGCGAUCAAUCGCGGUGUAAAUAUAUGAGUAGUUCAAAUGUUUGUUCGACACGUGGAUCGAACGACGAUGCGGCGUAUAAAUAUCUGUGAUAUAAUUAGCGGGAUCGGAGUUAGUCUCGAGGGGUUUAAUUGUCAGCUGACGCAACGAACGAUCACCGCGAUCAAAAUAUACGUCGAACAAUGUGACGCGAUAUUGGCUGACACCGUCUAGUACUUUUGACGGUCAGGAAACCGACCGACGUGACGAGCCCUGGGCCUUUCAAAAUUCAAUUUUCGAUCAAUUAGAAGGUAAAAAAUUAUAACUCGACGGCAUGACGAACGUCACCUAUGCGUGAAAUGCUCGUAUUAUAUGUACAGACGUUGAAAAGGAAAAGAGGAUCACGAGGAUAGGAAUUAUUAAUGGAGAAAAAAAAAUAACACGAAUAAAAGAAUUCGGAUUUUAUAACCGUACUCCGAUAAUUGCCUCGCUGCUCCAAUUUAAGGAAUGAAUCCAAUCACUUAUCGUUCUUGUACGGGAUAAUUUAAUUGGUACAGCCUCGUUUAUUGAAUUUACACAGGUAUAUGAUAUAUUUAUGUGAUACGAUUCGUGGUGAAAAAAAAAAAUUAUCACGUGGGCCGAAGAAAUGCGCAAGUAUCAUAAAUAUGUGUCACGCCGAUGAGGAGCAUCGCAAUGUCGAAAUGUACGAUGUUCGCCAGGAAUAUUGCGGAAAAUUGUUUCAAAAUAAAUUGAAUACAUAUAAUACUAUGAUAACGACGAGGUACGCCUACGCAUAUUAUAUUAAUUACGUUAUGGAAAAAUUCGUGAUAAUUAAUUCGAAUAAUUAACGUCAGCGCGUAUCUGGAUAACUUGAAUAUUUGUAUCAACGCUGGGAGGGAUCUCAGCGAACUUCCCGCGGCCUCUCGAUGAUCCUCCCUCGUCGUUUUUCCCCUUUUUUUUGUUCAUCCGUUUCAUUAUCUUUUAUCACGUAACGUUCGAUGUCCGUCGGCGUAUCCGUCUUGGGUGCAGAUCGUCGCUUAGCGACGCCUCCCAUACCUAUUAUAUUACGAAGCUGAGGCGAGACGACGCGAGGUAACGAAAAAAUUCAUUUCUUUGUCGCUGAUGCAGUUUCCGGUCCCGGUGCCUGUUGCAGAGCCGUCCGUGUGUGAGGUAUGAAUACAUAUGCAUAAACGGUCGAAGGAUCCUUCGGGACAGAUACACGGAAUAAUACAUAUCUUGUAAUCGCUACGCUCAGUUAACUUGAUAUAAUUUUUUUUUUUCUUUCUUUCCUUCUUAAUCACCGAUUUAAUUACCUACCGUACUAUUCGAUGUAUCUCACGAUCGCAAUCCGGACCGAGCAUAUUUUACGUAUACCACGUGUAACAGGGAUUGAGUCUUCAACGGAAUCAAAAAAAUAAUAAUUGGACUGCUUUUUUUUUCCACUUUUUCACCGUAAUCAUUUACAUUCAAUUAAUUCCGGCAAACAAUGCGGAGGCGAGAUUUUUUCGACGCUUUUCUUUCAAAAUGAAUCAUUAUUCAGAUAAAGUCGUACGUCAUCGUCUAUUAACGAACGAAAUAAAAUGAGACUCGAGAGCCAAUCGAAAAAUUCCAUCGACGUCCGCAUGGGAAUUGAGUCGGUAACCGCAAAGAAUUUGCUCGAGCACAAGGGGAACCGAUGACGGAACUUUUUCACAUCCGAUUUGAACGGUGUCAUAUCAUUAUUUCCGUCCCGCUCAAACCGCAAGCCUCCCUGCAUUUACAGGUAUAUAGGUUAAAUAAAGGCUCGCGAUUCCUUCUUUUUAUUUGUACUCCGGACACCCAUUGUGCCACCGGUACUGCGACCCUGUACACAUAUAAUAAAUGAAAAUGUAGCCGCUCCAGAUGAUACGGAGAAUAUUCCCAUUGCGCGUCGCGUCUCACCGGAAUCCUCCGAUAAAAAACAGGGAAUAGAUUUCGUACGUGAAUUAUUCUUCGAACGUCUAAUUAUACGAGAGAGAUGAUAUGUUUUUGUGGCCGCGGUGGAGUGCGGGGUGAAAGAUGACGGAGGACAGGUGAACGUGGACGAAAUUGUAGAAGAGAGGAGAGAGACGGAGGGAGAAAGUGUGAGGAUAAAAAGUGGUAAAAGGAAUUAAUUUCAAAGAUGAUGCGUCGUCGUCCACAGAUGCGGACGUCGUAGGGGCUGAGUCGAGAGGGGGUUGAGACCCGCGCUACUGUCAACCGUUUUAAUGAAUAUCUUGAGGAUAUAAUCAUAAGUAUGCGUACACCAGACGUUGAAGAAGCACCGGAAGGGUUCCCCACAUUCAAAACGUCAACAGUCAAUGACGACGAAACUCUUCGAAAACGGUUUACUUUCUUUUUUUUUCCUCUCUUCGUUUAUUAUCAUACACACGCGCGGUCAAGAGCCCCCUAAUUUCGGGUCCUCGCCUUCCGUCAGACACACAAAACAAUGCGACCCCCUCAGACGCGGGUAAAUUAUUGCGGUUGCACGUUAUGUUUGUACACCCGUGACCCGAACGUUCGUUCAAUUUUUCGAAAAAUAAUACCGAGCGCACUUUUGUCGAUUCGUUAGAAAUCAAUUCAUGCUUCGAUUAUCCUUUGAACGACGAUCAAUUGCGGUGUAAUUGUAGAGCGUCGCGACAUGUUUCGGGACGUGCGUCUGCACGGCGGCCCUGAUGAUGACCGGGUAUCUAAUUAUCGAUAUAUCUGGUUUAUACGGUUGAUGGUGUGUUAUAUUAUGCCGCAGCCUACGCAGGGCCAACCACCUGUGCGCAUACCUAAUUCUAUAUAAUAAAGUCUCAUGCAUAUGAAUUUAGUGAGAGGCCUAGUCGUACUAUACGGAGUCUGCCACUUAUCAUAGAAUCUAUCGGACUACAACCCUUUGGAUACGCAUAAUAAAUGGUACGACGUCAACUCGUGAUGCGUGCACGCCAGGCCACCGCACCGCACCGCACCGCACCGCACCGCCAUCGCCAUCGCCAUCGCCAUCGCCAUCGACUUACUCAAACUUGCGUAUUACGGGUAUAUACGUGCGUCCCCGGCGCAGGGCAAAAAAAGCAACCCUUUGCCACCCGUUACGCUAGUCCCCGACUAUCUAAUAUCCGUGGCGACUUCUUGCAUAGCCCACGUAAUAAUUGCCGCGGACGAAACUCGAGAGCAGAUGCGGCAUUUCGAGACUGGUAAUCUUGAUCUCGUACCGCGCCGCGUUCCUCAUCUUCGCGGAUCGCUUUCAGUCGGUCGAUUAAAAUUUUUCGAAAUUCCGUGCGGAUCGGAGGGGAAUUCAAAAAAUAAUCGAGGCGCGUACCGUUUGUCGCGGAGAGGAAAAAGGGCCGCUAUCGUACCGGUCCGACCGUCUUUUUCGGUACUCGAACAAGGCAAAAGGCAAAGAACACCUGUGCCAACUGGGGCGCGUCCGAGCAGACGGACUUACGAGCGCCGAACGGGUGGACAAAACAGGUGGGUCUUGAUCGUAGCGAUGCGAUGCGAUGCGAUGCGGUGCCGGGAUUCUUGCAUCGCAUCGGGUUUGACUUAAUUCAUGAGUUCCUUCUGGUACCCGUACACACGUCACACUUUUUCACCGUGUGUGCUACGAGUCCCGCAGCUCGAUUGUUCGGUUCGCGUUUUUAUUUUAUUUUCUUUUUUAUUUUUUAUUUUUUUUUUUGCAUCUUAUUUCCCCGGUGUCGACGUAGUUUGGCAGGUUGGUCAAACCUCAAACGUACGGAAGGGAUGGUAUUAACGGGUGCGGGUUUCGUUUAGCUUCGGCACGACAUUGUAUCCGGCGAAUCUAAAGGCAGUUAGUCACCCCGCAAAAUGUAGUAGCAUCAUUUAGCGGUCUAACCGCGCGUUUUUCCAGUGAAACGUCCAACGUCGGCCAAACCGCACGCGCCGUUCAACCCCGUGCAUCUACCUGCAAUCCUGCGAUCGCCUCGUUCACCCCCUUUGUGGAGGAACAAUUCAUCGACAGGUAGGAAGAUUGGUUCGUUCUUUGUUUUAUUUUUAUUUAUUUUUUUUUCCUUUUCUUAUCUGCAUCUGAAAAAGCUGCGGAACCCUCGUGGACGAAGCAAUGUCACGGGGCUAAUUCGGAUCGAUCGGGGUCGUUAUGAGGAAGCAGCGUGGAAAAAAUGCUUCGUCAUUGACAUUUUUUUUACCGAUCGCGCUCGUUAGCACCAAAUUAUACACUCGCUCCGAGCCUCCGUUUAUACAGCGGGGAACAAAGGUAAUGCCAACGGAUAUUUUGGUCGCGGAUAAAGCAAAGUCGCCCCCAUCGCCCCCGUCGUACUGUAAUUCCGGAGGAGUUGCGGGACGGUACGAUCAUUGACUCGAGAUGGGCAUUGCUGUACGCUUGGCAUGCAUGCGUAUAAUCCAACAUCCCAUUACGUCUGCUACCUGCCCAAAAGCGGAUCAUGCACGGGUGACUUGCCACGUUUUAGUCCGGCGCAUCGUUUCGUUCCAGUAGCCAUCGGUGAUGCGCUGCCGUUGCCGUUGCCGUUGCCGUUGCGCGCCCCGCGCCAAAAUUCCACUCACGAGGAAACAAUACGAGAGAUGAAAGGUGGCAGACUUCGUGGCGAUGAGAAGACCGAUCAUUAACACGGAAUUUAGGUCACGCCACCGGAUCGAAGCCCGGAUCGCGUGGAUCAAAGAUUUCAGAUACGAGUCUGGCUCGCAUUUGAGUCGGGCACGAUCGAAUUGGUCAGCGGAGCGCGGGUCGUCCUUCGGAAAGCAACACCUCGGUCGCUCUCCGGAGCAUCCAGCAGCAGCAGCGAGCCAAAGUCAGCCGACACUGGAGCGGCGCGGUGAUCUUUCGGCUAUCCGGCUACCUGCAAUUAAGGACGGGACGGGACGGGUCAUUCGGUGACCGGUGUUUGUCAGCCCUUUACAUUGAUCCUGAGGUGUAAAACUGUCCCCGAUUCUCGCGCCCGUUUAACCGCUGCCGGGAAUCUCGCCGUAUACAUAGAUAUACCGCCUAACGUACGAGACGGGGCAAAUUAGACUCCUGGAAUGUGGAAUUAUAAGGCGCGUAUACGGUAAAUUUAUUCACUCGAUUCCGAAGGAAUGCUCAGCGGCGUAUUUAUGCGCCCGGGAAAUCUGUGUACACGUAUACGACACGGUACGGGUAUACCAUCCCCGCGUGAGCGAGGAGACGUUUUAAUCGAUCAGUGAGAAUUCGAAUUUGACGAGAUUAACUGGUGACUAAUUAAUUACGUGGAACGCGCGACCUUCCCUUACAAAUUAUCGACGUUUUUUUACGGCGGGGAGAUCGCGGAUCGCAUAACUCUUUAUUUCGAGUGCACAUUGUGCGCGCGGUGGUUGUAAAUUACGGGGUAUACGUGCGGCGUAUCCUUUACCGGGCUGCGUCGUAACGUGUCGAUCCCUAAAAAAGUAUUGCCAACAUCCUGCAGCACCGGCGAAACUUCCCGAAGUAAUCGUGUCGAUUACCUAUGAAUUAUGCCUUCCUUUUUAAACAUACAAUUACAUUUUCACGCUUUACAAUUACCCAGCUGCUCUGCUCUCCGCCGACGUUACUUCACCGACUCCGACGUACGUACGUAUACGUGUGGGUACGACGUCGGACAAUGCGACGCUCUCGUAGGGAGUACUGGGGAUCUCCUACGAACGUUCGCCGUAUCCCAUUCGAUUCUCGUGUACCCCGACGCGAUUGUUUAAACUCGACCCGUUUCCGUUCAGAUUUUAUUUUCAUUUCCUACAAUUAUACUCGAUAUGAAAUUAUAGGAUGCGAUCCGGUACGAGCUACCGAGGUUUUCGAAGCAAACUUGGGCAAUGGUCCGUCCGUCCACCUAUCCCUGUACGAGCCGCGCUCAUGUUAUUAUCCUGUUAUUUUCAGCGAGCACAAUUAUUCCCUCCGGGGGCGACGGGGACCGACAAUUCUCCUCCAAAUUGAAAUCCCUAUCUUUCACCGAAUCGUAAUUCGUUCGUUCGUUCGUUUUCUUUUUGUCGCUUUUACCGUAGAGGUAGAACCCCGCACUCGUGGAAGUGACUCACCGGAGCGUCGUGGUCGCGAUCGAGUUCCGCUCCGCGGAUAGCGAAGCGAGGACUCCUCUCCGUAAUUUCAUCGGCAUUCAAACCCGAUCGCGAUUACAAUCAUUAUACUCCCGAAUCGGAUGCGUGACCUUCGAGUAAGUAUACGUGAUACGGCUAGGUACAAGGGAAAUGAAUUUAUUACGGUUUCGCGACAAUUCUCACGAUACUCGGACUCGCGGCAUUCGUGUAAUUCUCUUACGGUAGCACGCAACAUUUCGGGGAGAACGAUAGGAACGCCAUCGGGGCUCGGACAAAGGGAGAUGAAACGCAGUGUAGGUAGCGGGUAAAAAGUGAAAAGUAAAAAGUCCGGAGCUGAACGACGAAAAAUAAAAACGGGGCUGUCAGAACCGUCAAGGAAGAAGAAAAACGGGCAUCGGCGUCGUGGGUAGGUAUUAUACUCGUGAAUGUGAUUAUUGAAAUUGUUAUUUACCAGCGUGUGGUUCACGGCCUUGCUAAAACCGAAAACCACAAACGCCGUGGGCAUCCCUCCGUCUAUAUACCUGUUCGCAGCCCUACAUUGUGAACCACGUGCGAUGUUAUGCAUUCGGUGAAUAUACGCGUGUGUCGUAACGUAUUUAUUCGGUAUCAUCCGCGCACAUCCCGAUCCCGAUCCGACUAACGGUUCCUACGAAAUUUCACCGAAAAUCUCUCGAGAUUGCGGAGAGAGAAUCGUUGAGUGGAGCAUUUUUUUGGAAAACUGGUCUCGCGUAGGUACAGAAGAAGGGGUGCGUGGAUGAAACGGGGGAACGUAAUUUACUUACGGUAUACCGAAUAUAAUAAACUAAUCAGAUGUACACGGUGUAUACUUAUCGCCGUCGGUUAAACGCAACUAAACAAGAGUCUAAAGAAAGCAAAAAUCCGAUGUAAACAAUGAGAGGAAGUGAAGGUCCAACGAUCGCGGCGCCGGCUUCCUUCGUGAAAUAAACAACAACUUCGCCCAUGUGGUUUACACAAACUCCCCCGAUCGCCCAGGUAUAAUACGCGUACCUCGCCUCGCGUUCCUCCAUCCCCAAUCUCUACGGAUAUAAUAAUUAUUCUUCGAGAAGUUGUUCUGCGCUUUCUACAUCCGCGCAUCUAGUUACGAAUGUAUAAGGUAGGUGGGUCGUACGUACGUAUGCAUGAUCGCGGUACACUUACGCUCUACGGAAAAUUAUACGCAACUGUAAAAUAUUAUGGAUGCGAAUGAAUUUUUUUCUACAAGGUACCCACCGCGCUAUUAUUACACUAAUAAUGAAUGACAGGCGUAGAUAUGGACGUACGAACCACGCUCAUCUAUUCGAUAAUUGCACAUUUAAUUGAUCCGCUCGGGAAGAGGAUUUGCGUGAGCGCGGUCUCGGUACGAAUGCCGAGUGUCGGCGAGAGGAGAGAAGAGAAGAGACGAACGAGCGGAGAGGAGAGAAGGGAGGGAGGGAAAAUAGCGGAGAGGAGAGGAGCGGAGAGGAGAGGAGAGGAGAGGAGAGAACGGUAAUAGACGGGGAGGAGUACCAGCUGGCGUCAGAGUGACACGAUCUAAAAUUAGAGCGCGUGUUGCGUGUCCACCGUCGCAUGCUCAUAUCGAACGCCCCCUUCCGGCUUCGCAUUAUUUUCAUAACUUCUUUUAAUUUUUUCCGCACUUUGCCCGGAGAGAAACCGUGAGAAGGGAAUCAAUAACGUAUAAAUAUAUUCACGUAUCACUACAGGAUAUCGACGUAAUCGCACAUUACAUCCCUCCUCGCUUCCCCCGCGAGCGCGAUUCCUCAAACGCGCUGCUGAUCGCGAUCGCUGCCGGAGAUAAUAAAAAAUGUGGUACACGCGAAUAAAAAACGAUCCCCGCAUUGAUUGCGUUGCAACAGCGAGCGAAGAAAAGACGAUCAUUAAAUACGUCAUGUGAGCUAAUUUUUAUCCCAUUCGAGUCUCCUCGUUUUUUUUACCCUCGCACUCGACCCACCGCGGAUUCUCCGCGAUAUUCGACUUCGCCGUGGGGCUAUUGUCGUCUAGCGUACGCGGUAUUCAAUUAGAGAGGAAAAUUAACGCAACCGGACGGAAGGAGAAGGUAAAAAUUCCCGAUGUAGUGGGACCUGUAACCGCGAAAGAACACGCGGACGUUAAACGGCGGUGAUUAGUGCAACGUUAAGAGAAUUUUGACGAGGAUCAUACGGGCAGAAUCGGUUAAUGAAAACGAAUAUAGGAAUACGGUCAUAAAAGUACGGUAACCCGAAAUUACAAGGCGAAUUUGCCCCGCUAAAACCAUUGAUUAAAACUAACUUAGCUCUAAAAAAUUACAAGUUCAAUCCGGCGACCGGUGGGUAUACCUGUACGCAGCCCGACAACGAAAUACCGUGAAAAAAAAAAAAAACAAACAGAUCCGGAGAGAUUGCUGCGCCAUUAAUUAGCUGUAAUUAUAAUGCGAAUUUGAACCGCGGAGGAUUAAGAAGCGGAAUAUCAAAUGAGGUCCACCGCGUACACGCGUAUACGUGUACGACGCGUUCGUACACCGUUAAUUAGAAACCGUGUUAUCACAGACAAAUUGCACGGGUCGUACACCCGCUGACCGUAUAAUGUUACGAGCCGCGUGGAACGACGGCUUCGCCUCGGACUUAACGAUAUCGCUCGAUGUCACGUCAGCCUUGAAAGUAUGCAACCGGACAAACGGGCGUUAUAAUUUAUUUAAUGAAAAAAAAAAAAAAAAAAACAAGGUAAAACGAAACCGAAGAAAAAAGUUUGCUCCAAUUUUCUCUCUCAUUUAAUUCCAAGCGCGAGGGUAUUCGAUCCACCGUGGAUAACCGUGAAGACGUAACAUUAUAAAGAUAACGACGAAAUCUGAUGGUAAAAUCUCCUUCACCCCUUCAUCCACGGUGAAAUACACGAGGUAGCACCUGCUCAAAAAUCGGGAGACGCUUAGCUAGAGCCGCACUUUCUUUUUCCGUACAACGCGCCUAGUAUGCCGCGUUGCAGCGGCACGACCGAGCGAUCGGAUCGGACGAGGCGAAUCUUUCACGUCUUAUCCGAACGGAUCAAAUGAAAUGCACCGACUGUACUAAGUAGCCGGUAAUUGCGUUCCGGGGUCUCGGUCCCACCUUAGGGGAUGAUGGAGGAAAAUGAAAUAUGAAAAAUGGAACAUGGAAGAGAGAGAGAGAAUGAAAGAAAAAAAAGAAAUGAAAAAGGAACGACGCGCGGGGUUCAUCGAAGUAGAGAUUACGAUCUUGGCGUUCAAAAUUAUAACAAAGGAUCUAAAGAUCACACAUGUGCUCAGCGAUCGGCGAAACCCGCCCGCAGGACCCCGAGGCGUUGUAGACAUAGAAUUACGAUGAUAAACUUUCGGUGCCGCGGUACGUCAGGAUCGGAGAAUAAGACGCCGUUACGCCGGAGCACCGGGUGCCGUCGCGGGUGCCCGGUGCAAAUAAAUUUGAAACUUAAAGAGUUUGAAGUUUUAAAUGAUACCCCUGCGCGUUCGCCGUUCCGGAGCGCGCAACCGGCACGAGGAAAUAUUUUUACGGCCGAACAACGAUAAGGGAUGCGCACGUUGUGGCGAUACGUUGAACCGAGAAAAAAUUGAAAAAACGACCACGAAUCGAUAAAAAAUUGUAAAAAAUUGUGAAAAAAAAUUGAAACAAAACUGUAUUUUCGAACGAUAUUCCAGGAUGAAAAUAAACGGAGGAGUGGUGGAGCAAAACUUAAGCCCUAAUAACGCGUAGCGCUACUCUACCGUCACUAAACAGCGGGAACUCGAUACGGGUUCGAGUUAUAAUCUCACGGCCUACGGCGGGUUUUACACACCAGAUUUGACGUAAAUUCGUGUUGAUGUCAACUCGAUUCAGGGGAUGAAUAGAAUUGAGAGAAAAAAGGAGAUGAAAGAAAAGAACGAAAGCAAGACAGGGUGAGCCGUCGGGGCGCUGCACCGCGACACUCGAAAAACGCCGAAGGGUGGAUGGGGGCGAGUCUCGCGACGACGCGAUCUUCGGGCCCACGGAAGCGAAAAAUGGAAUUUCGAUUUCUCCCUUCUUUUUCUUCCACGUUAUUUCAAUACCUGCAGCGGCGGCGGCAUUUCACCCGUGCAUGUAUCGAUUUCUCUACCGAAAAAUCAUUCGGAGAUAUUUUGUUACGUAGUCGGGAGAAGAGGGGAUGCCGCAGCAACGCGUAUUGUCUUUCCUCUCUCUCCUUCGGAAUCGCAAAGGGGCAACGUACCACGUGCGUUGCACAGAUGCUGCGGCGGGUUUCGCGACGCGAGAAUAAAAAAGAAAAGAGAUCGCCUUAUACCGUAAAUGUUGAAGAGCGAUCGAAAAUUAUCGGUCGAUCUUAAUCACCGUGCCUCCAAGUAACAGAUACGGUUGUUAAGGGAGUUAUGCGAAUGCGAAAAUCUUACGGGAUCGCGCGUCCGGCGCUGCGUGUAUAAUACUCGCGUCGCUCGUGGAAAAAACGAGUAAAUUAACGGUGGAAAAAGAUGAAGGGUUGAUUGGUAAGCCGCUCAUCCGUUCAAUUAAAUUUGACGCGUGCGCUAAAUCUCCGCGUAUCCAUGUUAUACCCGAUACGGUGCGUCGGCCAGACUUUAUAUUACCCGCAGCGGUUACCGCCUUCGCAAACUUUGUGCCCACAGCAGCCCCCGGUGUGCGCGAAUAGGUGUUCGUGUACGUACACCUUCAAUUUUUGAUACACGUCCACCGAAGAAAUAAAUGUAGGAACUCGACCAACGCGCAUCUGCGCCGAAACACAGUCUCGCCACCGUGUAUUUACAUAUAUUUACUUGUGCUAAGAACUGCGCCAUAUUGUGCCUCGCGAUAAGGAUCUUGCGGUAGCACCGGCUGGCAAAGAUAAAAUCAAAACCCUUGCUCGCCGCCUCAUUCUCUCCACUGCUACCUUUCCUUUUGCUUCUUUACCUCUGCGCUUUUUCGUGCACGACUGCAAAGGUAGGCGCAUACGGGACACGUGUAUAGGGAGGGAAUUGAGAACGGACCGGGCAAAAUUGCCAAACCAAACCGAAGUGGCCAACCACCUUGCCUCCGUCACCUCGCAACGAUAUCACCAUCUGUACCUCAUUAGCUUAAGCGGUAUAAAUACACGCUCCGGUACCCGACCUCGCACUCCUCUUCGUACCCAACUUUACCACCUUCCAGCUUUACCUCGUAUUACGCUACACUCGCGCUCUAUCCGGACCGUUCUCCCGCAUCAGCCCCAUUAUACGCGCUAUUACGUUCCACAUCAACUGGAAAGCGGAAUGGGUGAAUCUGAUCUCUUACGGGCUGCAAGUUAAUCAGGAUAGCACGCCGAGGAUAAGAGUCGUGUCGAGUAGAAAGUUGAUCAACAUUUCCAUAUCGUAACAAUGGGAUACGUUUACUCAAAACUCACGGUCUGCCACCGCGACGUGAUAUACAAGUACCAAGGUACGUACGUACCUACCUACCUAUCUACCUACCUACCUACCCGGCUAUACCUACCCCGUAGGCACUUGUAUAUUCCUACACGAAUAAGACCGGCCCAUCGUAUAAGACAAACGUAGUUCGCUCGCGCGUGAGAAAUGAACUAACUGUAUACCCUAUCCUGUUGACUGGGAAGCCGUAUAUUAACGAUGGAUAUCGUAAGUGCUACGGUGGAUUAGAAUUGGUGCGUGCAUGAUGAUGAGAAGAAGAAGAAGAAGAAGAAGGACGAGGAGGAGGAGGAGGAGUAGGAGUGUUUCGUGUUUCGUACAGACACGGUCUCACUUCCGCUUACGCGCGCCGCUACCACCGCGGACUGGUAUUAGAAAUGGUUACAGGUAUAUACAGCAGCGCGGCGAUGACCACCAAACCAAUUUUUCAGUCAGAAAUUAGUCUAUCCAGAAACCAACGAUUCGUGUAAUUUACAUCGCUGUAUUUAUUAGGAACGUAUAGCCGAAUCGCGGGUCUAUGUAUGGAGAUUAAUCGAGAUGAUCACGGUAUUUUGUGGGUAACAGGAAAUCCUGUGGGGAAUUUAGAAUUCUACCAUACGUAUUAGGGAUAUGUAAGUACAUUAUACUCCGCGGUAUUGGAAUGUGCAAAUUUGACGUGUAUAUAAGUAGGUAGCAUAAAUUACAUAACGCAUUAUCGUCCCUGUAUACCCCGCAGCUUGUGCUAUCUCUGCGAUAAUCUCAUUGGGAGACUUGAUAUUUCUUCUUCCCUGCCUCGUGUGCAACUUCCUCUUCUGUUUCGUUUGUACUUUUUAUUUAUUUAUUUGUUUAAUUUUUUUUUUUUCUUUUUUUUUUUUUUUCUUUUUUCUGCUCACUUUUGCUAUACUUGUAAUCUUUUACCGCGUCUGAACUCGGUUUUUGCGCAUCGUACCACGACGUAUAAUAAUAAUUUAUCCGCGUAUGGUGCAGAAAAUUAUACUUUCGCAUCGAAUAUCUAAAGCAUAACUGUUGGACUCGCACGCGAACGAUUGCCUCCGGGUACUUCGAUCUGCUCGCACCGCAUCAUCACGUAUUAUACGUACGUAAAAACCGAAUUUUUUCCACAUUUUUUUUCUCAUUCGUAUACGUCUCUCUUUUAGUUUUUGUUCGACUGUAGAUUUUUUUCUCUUUUCUUACAUUUACGAAAUGCCAGGAUUAUAAUGAAUGGGUGUUUAAAGAACCGAAUUCCUUCAUUGAAUCAAAGUAUAAACGAAUUCCUUAUAUUCAAAUACACCAUUUCUAGGAUUCGAGUUCAACUUCGUUCCGUGAGACUCGGUAUACGAAUGUGUGGUGUACGCCAUACGUAUAAUGAUAUUCAUCGGUCCCUCGAUGCCGGCGGAUUGAACGCGAGUCCCCAAAGUUAUGCUCGUGAAAUGAAAGUAAAGGGCUAUUUGGGAGCAAAAGAAUAAUGCAUGUCUCGGAAUGACAAGAAACUAUAAUGUAUAUGGCACCGUAGCCGAGCUCGACUCGACGUCGGUCGUCGCCACCCACGCAGCGGCUAUAAUAUCCAUCAUCGUGAUGUAGAAGGCAUCGCGAUGGGCGAUAUAGCCGGCAGAAGCAGGAGCAGGAGCUGCGCCAGGAGCAGGAGCAGAAGUAGAGGCAGAGACAACAAGGGCGGAACGCGCGACGGCACGAAAACGAUGAUAGGUGUGACGGGUAACGCGCCUGGUGACAUCGCCAAUUAUUCACCAGCUACGGCCAACACUCUCGAUCCUACCUAUAUGCGGUAUGAUACAUCGUCGUCUACCAUCAACGCCGAUACCAUUCACCUCGUAGACUCACCUGAGCGAACUUGCAGGUUUUGGACGAAAUACAAUUUUUCCAACGAGAAUCAUCGCUUCAGAAUCGUCGUUCAGCGUUGGGAGAAUUCGAUCAUCUUCAAAAACCCAAUAGUCGGUCCUUCGAGGGACAAACGAGAAGAAAAAAAAUGCACAAACAGGUACAAGCGAUUCCGAAUUCUUUGUAGGAUCGAAGAAUUCGAGAUCUUCGAACUUCAUAAACACAUUGUGUGCGAUGGAAAGGAGAAAAAUUUUCUUCGCUUUAUUAAUUCAACGUAUUGCUUCGCCAAGGACCCAAUUAAACGAGCUCUUCUCGCGUAAUAAUUGCCGACACGGAUAACGUAUAAUGUUCGAGUCUUGAGCCGCGACUACAUCGUGAUCGUUUGAAUAUAAACGGUCUCGGUGUCAUAUCGAUGUAGGAAAAUAAGCACUGGUUGACAGUUGCGGUGCAUAAAUUACACCGUAAUUUGAGUGCUCGUUAAAAAUCUAUUGAUUCCAACGAAUCGUGUACGCCGCGUGUUUCAACUGAUAUAUGUUGGAAUGCAGCGUCGGUUACAUCUACCUACGUACGGGUACAUACUUAUAUCCAUAAUUCGUAGUAUACCAAUGUCUGCAGACAUUGAUAGCGCCGUAGUACUACAUUAAGUAUAUGCGUUGAAAAUUACCCUGCUCGACUGCUAACCGUGUGCGUACCGUAUUAUAAUUGACUUACCUUCAUUGGCUAGUGAUAGCCACCUAGGCACGCCUAUUCCAAGAAUCUUCAAUGGCUUUUAGAGUCAUUAAUUUUACCUCAGCAUACUCUGUAUUCGGUUGAAACAAUCCGCACGCGUUGGCGCGAUCCGUGCCGUUCAUUCUAAAUUGCAAAAUAACUUCGGCGAAUUUCAUGUGAAAUGAAACUUUUAUUAGUUUCAUUCGAGCAGUCCAUAUGGUAUUCUCCGUCUUUCCCUCAAUUCUUUUUUAACUUUUCGCUUCAACGCUCGGUAAUUCUAUCGGCCUGCACGAGCAACAACAACUAUUUAUGCAAUAUAUUUAAUUACCCGGAUGCUCACGUGUUCAUCAUGCAAUUGCAUGUGCAAAAAAAUCGGUCGGUGAAUUACACAUGAAAUAUGCUGCGAGUCGGCGAUUUGCUGACUUUGCAAAUUCAGCUAAACUUGCGAAAUCUUUGGUACCCAUUGGCGAAAUCCUGGUACAGAAGCUUGGAAGGAAAUGGUAUACAUAGAAUUGGAAACAAAUAGGGUACCUUUGUAUACAUGGAAUCAUUAUACGUAGAUGAAGAAGAGUGAGGAUAAUUAAUCUCAGAUUUCUAGGUAUUUUUUCAACCGCGGCAUUGUCUCGCAUGUGUGUCAAAGUUGUAUUAUAUAUUGUAAAAUUGCGAGGCUUAUAAUACCUUGCUAUUUAACUGAACGCUGUGUAAGGAUUCCAGCACCGAGUCUUUACGUAGUCGUGUAAAACCGCGUGCUGGAACACCCGAACAUAUUUAUGUACCUACACAUAGGUAGAGAAUUUAUUGAUGUCGAUUUUUCAAAUCAUCAGUCAUUUUACUGUGCGACUCCGCGUAUUUUCCAUGCAUUUCGUUGUUAUCGAUAACAACGAGUUUGUACUAAAGAUGCCUCAUUGUAACUCGCAUUAAGUCGUUCAAAUGACGGGAGAGAUUCUUUCAAAGAUGAAUCCUUUCAAUGCAUUGCUAUUAUAUUGUACAAAACGUACGUCGCAAGUAUCGUAUGGUUGUAUUGUACCUAUAUGAGGAUAUAAUUGAACAAAUACAAAUACAACUGCAACGAUAUGCGCUCGUAUCUCGUUGGCGUAACUAUAAACGAUUGGCAUGACUAAUCUGAUUGUAAUGUGGAGAAAACAUUAUCUUACAAAGCGCGUUGUAAGUGAAAAAAAAAUCGUUGGUAAUAUUAUUAAUUAAUGGAUCUAAUCAUGAAAAAAAUUCAGCAAGAAUAAAAUGGAUCCCAAGUUUUUUACAAAACAGGGAAAUCUCCGACCCCUAAUUUCAUAUGUGCUCUAAUCGCUAAGUCCUACAUAAUCUUCUUUAGCGACAAAAAAAAUUGUUGAGCUGAUUUAUCAACGGAGUAGAAUAACGGUUGUCCUUGGUAUC